RNAcentral lists this ribosomal RNA (490 nucleotides) under uncultured bacterium. RNAcentral describes it as "partial 16S ribosomal RNA". It matches the Rfam family "Bacterial small subunit ribosomal RNA", at positions 30 to 507 of the family's 1533-position model. The record is from RNAcentral.
AUUGAACGCUGGCGGCAGGCCUAACACAUGCAAGUCGAACGGUAACAGGAAGACGCUUGCUUCUUUGCUGACGAGUGGCGGACGGGUGAGUAAUGUCUGGGAAACUGCCUGAUGGAGGGGGAUAACUACUGGAAACGGUAGCUAAUACCGCAUAACGUCGCAAGACCAAAGAGGGGGACCUUCGGGCCUCUUGCCAUCGGAUGUGCCCAGAUGGGAUUAGCUAGUAGGUGGGGUAACGGCUCACCUAGGCGACGAUCCCUAGCUGGUCUGAGAGGAUGACCAGCCACACUGGAACUGAGACACGGUCCAGACUCCUACGGGAGGCAGCAGUGGGGAAUAUUGCACAAUGGGCGCAAGCCUGAUGCAGCCAUGCCGCGUGUAUGAAGAAGGCCUUCGGGUUGUAAAGUACUUUCAGCGGGGAGGAAGGGAGUAAAGUUAAUACCUUUGCUCACUGACGUUACCCGCAGAAGAAGCACCGGCUAACUCCGUG